Molecule: ribosomal RNA, 429 nt
Filed under: Pseudomonadota bacterium
Lineage: Bacteria; Pseudomonadati; Pseudomonadota
Description: Proteobacteria bacterium partial 16S ribosomal RNA
Rfam family: Bacterial small subunit ribosomal RNA
Source: RNAcentral
UGGGGAAUAUUGGACAAUGGGCGAAAGCCUGAUCCAGCCAUGCCGCGUGUGUGAAGAAGGUCUUCGGAUUGUAAAGCACUUUAAGUUGGGAGGAAGGGCAGUAAGCGAAUACCUUGCUGUUUUGACGUUACCGACAGAAUAAGCACCGGCUAACUCUGUGCCAGCAGCCGCGGUAAUACAGAGGGUGCAAGCGUUAAUCGGAAUUACUGGGCGUAAAGCGCGCGUAGGUGGUUCGUUAAGUUGAAUGUGAAAGCCCCGGGCUAAACCUGGGAACUGCAUCCAAAACUGGCGAGCUAGAGUAGGGCAGAGGGUGGUGGAAUUUCCUGUGUAGCGGUGAAAUGCGUAGAUAUAGGAAGGAACACCAGUGGCGAAGGCGACCACCUGGGCUCAUACUGACACUGAGGUGCGAAAGCGUGGGGAGCAAACAGG